Molecule: ribosomal RNA, 477 nt
Filed under: uncultured bacterium
Lineage: Bacteria
Description: partial 16S ribosomal RNA
Rfam family: Bacterial small subunit ribosomal RNA
Source: RNAcentral
GAUGAACGCUGGCGGCGUGCCUAAUACAUGCAAGUCGAGCGAACAGACGAGGAGCUUGCUCCUCUGACGUUAGCGGCGGACGGGUGAGUAACACGUGUAUACCCUACCUAUAAUUCUGGUAUCACUUCGGGAAACCGGCUCAAAUACCGGAUAAUAUAUUGAACCGCAGGGUUCAAUAGUGAAAGACGGUUUUUUCGGCGGUUGUAGAUGGAUUCGCGCCGUAUCAGCUAGUUGGUGGGGUAGUGGCUUACCAAGGCGAUGAUGGGUAGCCGGCCUGAGAGGGUGACCGGCCACAUUGGGACUGAGAUACGGCCCAGACUCCUACGGGAGGCAGCAGUGGGGAAUAUUGCACAAUGGGCGGAAGCCUGAUGCAGCAACGCCGCGUGCGGGAUGACGGCCUUCGGGUUGUAAACCGCUUUCGCCUGUGACGAAGCGUGAGUGACGGUAAUGGGUAAAGAAGCACCGGCUAACUACGUG